This 253-nucleotide ribosomal RNA is filed under the name uncultured bacterium. RNAcentral describes it as "partial 16S ribosomal RNA". It matches the Rfam family "Bacterial small subunit ribosomal RNA", at positions 524 to 776 of the family's 1533-position model. The record is from RNAcentral.
UACGUAGGGCGCAAGCGUUGUCCGGAAUUAUUGGGCGUAAAGAGCUCGUAGGCGGUCUGUCGCGUCUGCUGUGAAAACUCAGGGCUUAACCCUGAGCUUGCAGUGGGUACGGGCAGACUAGAGUGCGGUAGGGGAGACUGGAAUUCCUGGUGUAGCGGUGAAAUGCGCAGAUAUCAGGAGGAACACCGGUGGCGAAAGCGGGUCUCUGGGCCGUAACUGACGCUGAGGAGCGAAAGCAUGGGGAGCGAACAGG